CAAGAGACCCAGAAAAUGGAGGGAACAAAUUAAUGAAGUGGACCAUCUGCUAACUAUGAAGUGCUAUCCCACAUCCAGAGAUGAAUCUGCCGGAGACUGCAAAAGGAAAAAAGUACUCCCAAGACCAGAAGUAUUGAAUAACCAGCUAAAAUGAAAGGGAAGAAAAAAAGGGGGAGGAGAAAGAUGGAGCCACUUUCCUAAAAUCGACUCAGUUGAAUAAAACCUCUUUCCAAAUAUUUCUUACUUCUAGC
This 251-nucleotide long non-coding RNA is filed under the name Monodelphis domestica (gray short-tailed opossum). RNAcentral's name for it is "lncRNA (ENSMODG00000035007.2)". Lineage: Eukaryota; Metazoa; Chordata; Mammalia; Didelphimorphia; Didelphidae. The record is from RNAcentral.